RNAcentral lists this long non-coding RNA (598 nucleotides) under Gossypium barbadense (sea-island cotton). RNAcentral's name for it is "long non-coding RNA (GBAR_LNC013454)". Lineage: Eukaryota; Viridiplantae; Streptophyta; Magnoliopsida; Malvales; Malvaceae. The record is from RNAcentral.
UCAGUUUGUAAAGAUUAACUUUGACGUAGCCUUUGAUGAGAAUGUUCGACAAUCGGCAGUGGGAAUUGUGGCCAGAGACAGUCAAGGAAAUGCCCUUUUAUCUAGUACAGAGCUUCAUCACCAAGUAGCAUCAGCCUUUGCCGCAGAAGCAAUAGCUUGCAGGACAGCAACUCGCAUCGGUAUGAACAUGCAAUGGCCAAAUAUUAUUAUCGAAGGUGAUGCACUUUCAAUCAUUAAGAAAUGCAAAACACAAGCAAAUGACAGAUCAAGGGUUGGAGCAUAUAUUCGAGAUAUUCAUCAGUUACUAAUAAAAUAAAAAAGACACUAUUUUGAGCACACACCUAGAGAGGCAAAUAGUCUGGCUCAUAUGCUAGCAAGGGAGGCAUUAAAGAAAAAGGAAGAAAUUUACCUGAUUGGCACAGUUCUGGAUUAUGCCGAGCGACUAAAGGAAAAUGAACGGAAGGGAGUACAAAGAAGCAGAUGAAAUGAAUGACACAAAUCUUAGAGGCUGAAAAAGGGGAAACCCAAAAGUUUGAAUGAAACAACCUCAUUGAUAUCCGAGAAACGUCUUACUGAAGAAAUGAAAAAUGGAUUUGAA